CAAGUCGAACGCGAAAGUUCCCUUCGGGGAGCAAGUAGAGUGGCGCACGGGUGAGUAACACGUAGGUAAUCUACCUUUGGAUGGGGAAUAACAACCGGAAACGGUUGCUAAUACCGCAUAAUGCAGCGGCACCUAAUGGUGACAGUUGUUAAAGCGGGGGAUCGUAAGACCUCGCGUCUGAAGAGGAGCCUGCGGCGGAUUAGCUAGUUGGUAAGGUAACGGCUUACCAAGGCGAUGAUCCGUAACCGGCCUGAGAGGGCGGUCGGUCACACUGACACUGACAUACGGGUCAGACUCCUACGGUAGGCAGCAGUCGGGAAUUUUGGGCAAUGGGCGAAAGCCUGACCCAGCAACGCCGCGUGAAGGAUGAAAUCCCUCGGGAUGUAAACUUCGCAAGAACAGGAAGAAUAAGUAGAAGACAAUACCUUCUAUGAUGACGGUACUGUUUGUAAGCUCCGGCUAACUCCGUGCCAGCAGCCGCGGUAAUACGGGGGGAGCAAGCGUUGUUCGGAUUUACUGGGCGUAAAGGGCGCGUAGGCGGCCACUGCAAGUCGGUUGUGAAAUCUCCGGGCUUAACCCGGAAAGGUCAACCGAUACUGCAGGGCUAGAGUGCGGAAGGGGCAACUGGAAUUCUCGGUGUAGCGGUGAAAUGCGUAGAUAUCGAGAGGAACACCUGCGGCGAAGGCGGGUUGCUGGGCCGACACUGACGCUGAUGCGCGAAAGCUAGGGGAGCGAACGGGAUUAGAUACCCCGGUAGUCCUAGCCUUAAACGAUGAAUGCUUGGUGUCUGGGGUUUUUAUAGUCCCCGGGGUGCCGUCGCUAACGCUUUAAGCAUUCCGCCUGGGGAGUACGGUCGCAAGACUGAAACUCAA
Molecule: ribosomal RNA, 872 nt
Filed under: uncultured Bacillota bacterium
Lineage: Bacteria; Bacillati; Bacillota
Description: bacterial SSU rRNA
Rfam family: Bacterial small subunit ribosomal RNA
Source: RNAcentral